Molecule: transfer RNA, 77 nt
Filed under: Candidatus Aegiribacteria sp. MLS_C
Lineage: Bacteria; Pseudomonadati
Also listed under: 7 other names
Description: Candidatus Aegiribacteria bacterium MLS_C tRNA-Pro
Rfam family: tRNA
About the family: Transfer RNA (tRNA) molecules are approximately 80 nucleotides in length. Their secondary structure includes four short double-helical elements and three loops (D, anti-codon, and T loops).
Source: RNAcentral
CGGGGCGUGGCGCAGUCCGGUAGCGCACUUGAAUGGGGUUCAAGUGGUCGCUGGUUCGAAUCCAGUCGCCCCGACCA